This is a long non-coding RNA of Gallus gallus (chicken), 1871 nucleotides long. NCBI's taxonomy places the organism in Eukaryota, Metazoa, Chordata, Aves, Galliformes, Phasianidae. The record is from Ensembl.
AUGUCUGCUGGGUGAAGGCUGCUUCCUGAGAAGGAGGGCUCUGUUGCUAAAGACCUGCUUGCCAGUCAGGAAAAAGAGGUCUUAAAGCAUCCAGCCUCUCCCCUGUGUGUGGUACCUGAGCAGCGAUGAGCCGCCCUGUGCCUGCACUGCCAUCACCUGGGACAAAUCCAUCAUUGGAGAGGUCUGGGCAUCCCUGCAAUGUCCCAUUGGUGUCAGCGGUGGUGGAAGGAGAACUAGUCCCCUCUGCAAUGCUGGGGUGCCCAAUGCUGAAUUCCAUGGGUAUCAAGAGAGGAGAAACUGCCAGUUCUCAGGAGCAGUGGUGGUUGAUCAGCUGCCAACAGCUUGGGAGGAAAAUGAGCUGCCUGAGCUGUGAGAACUAUUUCUGGAGGUGAAGCCUGACACUGAGCUAGAUGCCAGCUCCAGUGAUGGAAUCAAAACAUUCCUGCUGCCCUCAGUGGGUUUAGUCAGGCUGUCAUGUCUGGAGAUGGAACAGCAAGGCACGGCACUGGUGGGUGAGCUAUGGCCAUUUCCCCAGUCUGUGGCUGGUCCUGGUGGUGCCUGCAGCGCUGGGGAAUGGGAUGUUGUUUGGCUUUGGUCUGGGGGUGGUCAGUGGGUCGGUUCUGCACUGCCCUGGGUGGUGCUCCACAAAGGCAGAGGUCUCACUGCAGUGCUGGGAGCGCAUCCACUGCCCUGCAUGGUGCUCCUGGGCAUGCGGGGCUCUGAGGUCUGGGCACUGGGAAACAACUCCUGGUAGAUCUGGCAUCAGUCUGCUCUGGGGAGAGAAAUCUGAGGCAGUUUUGGCAGCAGACUUCUUGCUAUUCAGCGUGCUAUUUUCUGCAGGAACUGAAAGCUGAAGGUGGCAGACAGGCACAGAGCCAGGCAGGAUGCAAAGUACAGGGUUUGAGGCUGGUGUGGAAUGAGAGGGCCCACUGCUGCCCUGGGAUCCCAGCAGUCUUCCUACAGGAAAUUCUGUGAGAACUUCCCUUGUAGAGCCGUGUAAAAUGCACAUUGGUGAUGCGCAAAUUUCUUUGUGCACAUUUAUGUGCAUCUUUCAUGCACGCACCCUCAAAUUGCUGUUAUUGAUUGUAAGCUUGUGGGCUGGCAGCUUACCUGCAUGCCUUAUCCUGCACAGGACAAGUGCUGCUGGGCCUGCGUGGAGCACGAGAGCCCGUGGUUGACCCUCUGAUACAACGUGAACAUUGAAUUUAAAACAUUUUUCCUUCUAGAGUGCUGCUGUAAGGUUGCAGGGCCACAUCAAAUUCUAUCUAUAUUUGUGGUUUUCUUCAUUCUUAGCAAGACAUGAUAAUGGAUAAAUGUUCUGGAAGCUCAGUCAAAAAGGCACUGUUCUCUCUUAUGUUAUAUGUGACUUAACAGGAGCUCCUGAGCAGCCCGUGAGGUUUCUCUUUGCUGAGAUCCAGCAGGUCAGUUUUGCUGCAGGUGCAAUUUGACUGGGCUUCUGGGAUCACUGCUUCAGCCUUACGUUGCUUAACGAACACAUAAAUAAUUACUUGUUAUUAGUGAACUGGAGCAGUGUGAUGGAGAGACUUAACAUUGAAAUCCCAUUGCCCGUCUCAGAGCUGCAGUUGGUGCAGCGGUGCCUUUGGAAAUGCUGCAUUCCCUCAGUGUUGAGCUUUGUGGUGGUAAAUGAUUCCCCUGCACAACAGCCCCAGGGAGUGACAGCCAUGGAGGAGGGAGAGGCUGCUCAUGCAGACAGCACUGGAAUGAUGGGAAGUCUGAAAUGCAAAGGAUGCAGUCUCGGAGCCUUCUCCUUGAGAUGAAAGCAGCCGGCAGAAUGAUGAGGCUGUUCUUUUUCUUCACAACUCACUUCUGUUGUCAGAAAGGAAAUGUGAUAAUAAAGCUUAGAUUCACUU